Long non-coding RNA from Diabrotica virgifera virgifera (western corn rootworm), 1080 nucleotides. RefSeq lists it as uncharacterized. The transcript has 2 exons. The record is from RefSeq and is a predicted model, not a curated record. Lineage: Eukaryota; Metazoa; Arthropoda; Insecta; Coleoptera; Chrysomelidae.
UUUAAAUUCUUUAAUUUAUCGUAAAGGACUUCUCAUGUGACGUCACACUGUACGGAACAUAGUUGUUGAACCGUUCCUUGUCGUUUAAUUCGUGUUCCGUGAGAGUUUGACGUUUUCCUCGCUGACUGUGGGAGGAAUACAAGAAUCUACAGGUCGAGCAAGUCUCGUAAAUUUCACGAUUGCGAGCCACGCUUCACGCAACCGUGUUUGCGUACUUGUGUUUCGAGUUGCGUGGUCGUGCGGAGUUAUAUUUACCAAAUUUAAAUGUAAUCGUUUCUACUGAUAAUAAUAUACUAUUCUCAAUAUGGCUACUGGGUGUAAAAGAUAAAUCUUAUUCUAUCUGUUCUUCAUGAGUUUUAGAUAAUUUUAGUUGUAUUUCUUUGUAAUUUUGUGUUGUACAAAGAUUAAUUUAACAUUUUCUCUGGAAGUAUUAAUUUAGAAAGAUAAUAUGCUUCAUUGGUGUUGUGUUUUGAAGUGUGAAAUGCAAAGUAAUUGUGAAGUCAAGAUAAAGUUCACUUUUAAACUGAACUAAAUAAGGUAUCUGAGAGACAACAAUGGUUAAAUGCAAUACAAUGUACAGGUUUUACUAGCGAAAUGAAAAUUUUCCUGUCCUGUCUGCUGUAAUCAUUUUAUAUCUGGUAAGUUACAAUUACAACAGUAACGAUUUUUGAAGAUGUUAACAUUUUAAUCUUAUAGGAAAAUAGGAAAACCAGCCGACUUAAUCGAUAAUAACAAUCUCCAGAUUGGGUUCCUUCAAUAAAUAUGGGCUAUAAACACAAUGAAAUAAGUUCCCCAAAAUCUAAAAUGGAGUGGUAUCAAAGGAGAAUUAAAGGAAAUAAUAUUCAUAUUGAAAUUAUUUAUAAGGCACUGGACUGUCUUAAAUUCUACAAUAAUACUAGAAUCAGCUGAGAGAAGUGGUCUACAAAAAACCAGGAAGGAAACGGAAUAUGUGGCUACGAAAGGCAAAAGAAAGGUUUACAAAGCAAAUGUGACACAUUUUUUUAAAAUAUUUAGGAAUAUCAGUAAAUUGCAUUAAAAAAUGUAUGAAAAGAUUUUGUUCAAUAAAAAUGUUUAUAUUUA